Molecule: ribosomal RNA, 450 nt
Filed under: uncultured bacterium
Lineage: Bacteria
Description: bacterial SSU rRNA
Rfam family: Bacterial small subunit ribosomal RNA
Source: RNAcentral
UGAGGAAUAUUGCGCAAUGGGCGAAAGCCUGACGCAGUGACACCGCGUGGAGGAUGACGGUCUUCGGAUUGUAAACUUCUGUUAAGUGGGAAGAAAGGCCUCUCUCUAAUACAGAGAGGAUAUGACGGUACCAUUAGAGAAAGCACCGGCUAACUUCGUGCCAGCAGCCGCGGUAAUACGAAGGGUGCAAGCGUUAUUCGGAAUUAUUGGGCGUAAAGCGUGCGUAGAUGGCGUAAUAAGUCAGCCGUUAAAUCCCCUCGGCCUAACUGAGGGUCUGCGGUAGAUACUGUUGCGCUAGAGGUUGGGAGAGAGAAGUGGAAUUCUCGGAGUAGCGGUAAAAUGCGUAGAUCUCGAGAGGAACACCGAUGGCGAAGGCAGCUUCUUGGUCCAUACCUGACAUUGAGGUACGAAAGCGUGGGGAGCAAACAGGAUUAGAUACCCCCGUAGUCC